This 409-nucleotide long non-coding RNA is filed under the name Callithrix jacchus (white-tufted-ear marmoset). Its description in RNAcentral is "lncRNA (ENSCJAG00000077203.1)". The record is from RNAcentral. Lineage: Eukaryota; Metazoa; Chordata; Mammalia; Primates; Cebidae.
UUGGAUCCAUUACUGUUGGCCUCCUGCCAGAAGGUGGUGCUUUCCAGAGAGUAUCAGCUGUAGUAGUAUGAAGAGGAACUAUUGGUGGGCAAGGCCCUAGAACUCCCAACAACAUAUGUACUUUGUCUUCAGCUACCAGGGGCUUGAGGAGUUGCUGAAGGUAAGCUCUUCAAUGCUUUUUGCCUCCAGGGGCCAAAUUAACCCGUAGAAAAGUUCUUUUAUGAACUCCUUUGACAUCCAUUUGAUACUUAAUCAUUUUCUGUUAUAAUUGCUUUAUGGCUAUUAUUUGUUUUCUUGUCAAAUUAUAAAAUCUUUGAAAUUUGGGGCCAUUCUUAAGCUUCUUGAGUUUCUCCACCUGUUCUCACAACAAAUUCUUCCUAAUGGAAGAAAAACAGAAAUGAAAGACACA